Molecule: ribosomal RNA, 709 nt
Filed under: uncultured bacterium
Lineage: Bacteria
Description: bacterial SSU rRNA
Rfam family: Bacterial small subunit ribosomal RNA
Source: RNAcentral
AUGCAGUCGACGGCAGCGCGGGGCAACCUGGCGGCGAGUGGCGAACGGGUGAGUAAUAUAUCGGAACGUGCCCUGGAGUGGGGGAUAACGCAGCGAAAGUUGCGCUAAUACCGCAUACGAUCUAAGGAUGAAAGCGGGGGAUUCGCAAGAACCUCGUGCUCCUGGAGCGGCUGAUAUCUGAUUAGCUAGUUGGUGGGGUAAAGGCCUACCAAGGCAUCGAUCAGCAGCUGGUCUGAGAGGACGACCAGCCACACUGGAACUGAGACACGGUCCAGACUCCUACGGGAGGCAGCAGUGGGGAAUUUUGGACAAUGGGCGCAAGCCUGAUCCAGCAAUACCGCGUGAGUGAAGAAGGCCUUCGGGUUGUAAAGCUCUUUUGUCAGGGAAGAAACGGUUGAGGCUAAUAUCCUUUACUAAUGACGGUACCUGAAGAAUAAGCACCGGCUAACUACGUGCCAGCAGCCGCGGUAAUACGUAGGGUGCAAGCGUUAAUCGGAAUUACUGGGCGUAAAGCGUGCGCAGGCGGUUUUGUAAGUUUGUCGUGAAAUCCCCGGGCUCAACCUGGGAAUUGCGAUGAAGACUGCAAGGCUAGAAUCUGGCAGAGGGGGGUAGAAUUCCACGUGUAGCAGUGAAAUGCGUAGAGAUGUGGAGGAACACCGAUGGCGAAGGCAGCCCCCUGGGUCAAGAUUGACGCUCAUGCACGAAAGCG